CCUACGGGAGGCAGCAGUGAGGAAUAUUGGUCAAUGGACGAGAGUCUGAACCAGCCAAGUAGCGUGAAGGAUGACUGCCCUAUGGGUUGUAAACUUCUUUUAUAUGGGAAUAAAAUGUUCCACGUGUGGGAUUUUGUAUGUACCAUAUGAAUAAGGAUCGGCUAACUCCGUGCCAGCAGCCGCGGUAAUACGGAGGAUCCGAGCGUUAUACGGAUUUAGUGGGGUUAAAGGGAGCGUAGGUGGAUUGUUAAGUCCGUUUUGAAAGUUUGCGGCGCAACCGUAAAAUUGCAGUUGAAACUGGCAGUCUUUAGUACAGUAGAGGUGGGCCGAUUUCGUGUUGUAGCGGUUACAUGCUUAGAUAUCACG
This 366-nucleotide ribosomal RNA is filed under the name uncultured bacterium. Its description in RNAcentral is "partial 16S ribosomal RNA". It matches the Rfam family "Bacterial small subunit ribosomal RNA", at positions 338 to 701 of the family's 1533-position model. The record is from RNAcentral.